GGGCGGUUAGCUCAGUGGUAGAGCGGCUGGUUUACACCCACUUUCAGGAGUAUUUUCUCGCGUCCG
This 66-nucleotide transfer RNA is filed under the name Verrucomicrobiota bacterium. Its description in RNAcentral is "Verrucomicrobia bacterium tRNA-Val". The record is from RNAcentral. Lineage: Bacteria; Pseudomonadati; Verrucomicrobiota.